UGAUCCUUCAAAGCAAGUUUUAAUGGGAAGUGAUGAGUGGUCAUCGCUCGCAAUUAAACAUGCGAGAUGGGGUGUCUGCCUAAAGCUUUACGACAAUUAGGCACCUCCAAUUCGGAUACCUCAUAAUAAAGGAACGACUUGACUCUCCUGCAUCGUCUUUCUUUCGGUAUGUGAUGGGUUCAUCUUCUUCUAGUAAAGUGGGAAGAAAUGAGAUGAAGUAGAACUGAAGUUACUGCAUAUACUGGGACUAUUUUGCGAUUUGUGAAUCUUGCUUCUAAUAAACCUUGGUUAUUUAGCUGAUUGUGUUAAAUAAAUUCUGUAUAAACCUUUUACAAUUUGCGUGUAAUUGAGGGGUAAAACUGUCCUAAUUCCACUAGUAGUGAGAAAUGUCACUAAACUAGGGUGACAGAUUGAUUGAUGUUUUAGAGAUAGAAAUCAGUUUGCUACAAAGUAUUUUGAAUUUUUUUCUAGCUUUUUCUAAGGAGAACAUGGUGUAUAGUAACGUAUAUACAAGGGUAUUUUGGGCAAUAUUCAGCAAAUAACAAUUUGGCUGCUAAAAUCAGUAAUUUUAGGGUAAAUUACACGGAUGGUCCCUAUGGUUUGGGGUAAUCUGCGCGUUUACUCCCUAACAAUUUUUUUUAAAUCUUGCGUUUACUCCCUAACAAUUUUUUUUAAAAUCGGACCGUCCUUAUAGUUUGAUUUUGUUGCGUCGUUGGUCCCUGACUUAAAAUGACCAAUAUACCCUUACCUAUUAUUUUAAUUGUUUUUUAUUAUUAACUUACUAAAAGGAAAUCGACUAAUAUGUGUGGGUCCCACCCACCAAAUCUUUUACCCUUUCUCUCUAAUAUCUUUUUCCCUUUCUAUCUACAAAAAUGAGAAUACGGACCAUCAACACCGGCACCGGACCUAAAACCUCUGACCUCCUCAACCCCCAUUUUGGUUUUGCUGAUAAAACACGAAGGUGAAAAAGAUGGUGAUGGUUCAAAGGUUUCUGGCGAUCCAACGAAGGCGAAGGCCAUCUUCUCUCCCAUUCCCCUCCUCUGUCGCCCUGUCACCACCAACCCCCUAACUAUAUCUUCUCCAUUUCAUAUUUGACCCCAAAUCACUCUAAUGUAAAAAAGAUGCCUCUAAGCUACCAUUUUCUUCUCCUAUAUAACUCCAAAAGUAUUUUGAUCAGUUAUGUAGAUCUGUGAACUCGACCCUUACCCAGUGCUCACGUGUAAAUCGGUUAUGGAGAAACUGAUUUUGUUCGUCAAUGGAUGUAUGGAAGAAAUUGAUUUAUUUGGUUGUAUCAGAGGGAAUGUCUGAAAUCACGGAGGUUGCCUGACGUUGGAGUCCGAAGGCGGAUGCUUGAUGACGGAGACCAGUGACGGUAAAAAGCACCGAUUUCCUGUGAAACGGAACGUCGGAAAAGGAGGUGCUCCAACUAAGAGAGAGGGAAAUAGAGACGAUGGGGCAAGCGGCAGUCGACUUGGUCGGUCAUCGUCGCGAGUCACAUUUUGCAGCGAUAUUUAGGGCACAAAGGGGGUAAUUCUGGGGUUUGGGAGAUGAUGAAGCAUGUGUACAGUGAAGAGGAGGAGAAAGGGAUAUUACUCAGGUGGGAGGAAGGAGGCAGUCAACAUUCUGGAUACACGUGAAACCAUAUUCAAACGCGAGAGAGAGGAAUGCGUUUGUAUGGAGGGACGGAUGAAGUUUUUUUUUAUUAAAUUAUUCUAUUUCAAUAACAUAUAAAUAAUAAAUAAAUCUGAAAAUAAAAUCAUAAGGUAAAA
Non-coding RNA from Lactuca sativa (garden lettuce), 1769 nucleotides. Lineage: Eukaryota; Viridiplantae; Streptophyta; Magnoliopsida; Asterales; Asteraceae. The record is from RefSeq and is a predicted model, not a curated record.